GAACAAAGUAGCCUUUGGAUGGUUCAGUGCCCUGAGGCCUUGGUUCUCAGGGGAAUCCUGGUAGAAUAUACUAGUGAAAGGUCACUCCCCACUUACUACCAGUGGCCUAACUGCAAUCCUGUACACAGAGUCAACCUUAAGGCAGAGAUGUAGUAAGGAAGGGGAUUUCAAAGGGACCCUUUGUGAGUGUCCCUGAUCUGCCUGUCACUAGGAGGCUGGAGGGCCAAAGGAGUAGGCUGAGAGAUUGAGUACCAGAAGUCCUAGAUGCAGGGAUGCUUCCUCCAGGUGCCACUGCAGAGGUCUGAUGACCUGCCUGCUUCUAUAGAUACUGCAACACUGUUUUGUCUUCCAUCAUGAAGGUCACUCAGAUUACACAGGUACUGCAAUAAGCAGUUCUGAGCAUCAAAGAGCCUAAAAUGAAAAGUAUGAAAUCUGUUGGGACCAGGUAUGGGAUGGACAAAGGUCAGUCAGAACACAUACCCAGUGAAAUGAAGUAAAAUGAAAGGCCAUGAUGAUCUCAAACUAUUUAAUGACAUGGGGAAAUGAUCUCAUCUGAACAGUAAAGAAUAAAAGGAGUCUACAAAGCCUUCAAAACUUGGUGAGGGCAAUCAAAGUCCCUCUAUCUUACCACCACUGAAGCUCAUCACGGACCCCAUACUGAAAGUACCUGGACUUUAUGUGCAUGAACAAUCCCUGACUUUAUGAUGAUGGAGAAGGUGGUUCAGGGAAGGCUGCCUGGCUUGAUUCUGUAGCUGCCGGCCCAGAACUGAGCUCCUUCUCUUCCCCGUACACAGCUGCUUUUGGCCCUCUUGACGGUUGUACCACCUUCUUUCACUUGUCCCCAGUCCUCUUCAUACCCACUCUCUUACUGGUCCUUAACAGAUGGUCACCAAAUUCAUUCUGCCCCCUGACUCUCACUUCAGUGGGUCUCUCUUUUCCAACCCUGAGGCAGUACCCCGAUUCUAAUGCCUGUCCCCUUUAGCCCACUGCUUGCAGAGGCCCCGCCAUAGUGCCCAGCUGAUCCUGGAACCUAUUUUUCUCUCCCUGAUGUGGCUGUUGCUGUGUCUUAGGCUGCUGAGAGCAUAUUGUCACAUGAUCAAAAAGAGAACAUUUAGGAUUUCACAACCCUGAAAUUAUAGUAAGCCUGUUAAUUUGGGUCUUGGGCUAAAGACUGCAAUAGUACCCACUCUGCAACCUGAGUGGAGGACUGCAUAUUUACUCACAUUAGAAGCAAACAAAGUUUUGGUAAGAUCAUUAGGAUAGAUUCCUAAAACUAAUGUAUAUAUCAAAGGCCAUGCAAUUUUAACUGUUUGUUAAAAAUCUCACUCCAGAAAGAUUGUUUUCAAAUUAUAUUCUCAUGAGUAAUGAGAGGGAAUUUUUUUUGCCUCUAUCAUUACUAAAACUUUAAUUUCAAUAAAGAUAAUAUUCCCAAAAAUAAAUACUUUUUCCCACAAUAAAAUUCCUUUUUUUGGGUCCUGUUUCACCUCUAUCACCAAAAAGGUAGGCUUUUACAAAAUGUUUACUUUCUCCCUCUCUUUUGCCCUACCAUAAUUGAAACAAUUGGAAUACUUUUAAUUCUACUUUCACACCCUACUCUCAUCCCCCAAACCAUGGGGCUGGUGGAGAUAGUUGAUGUCUGAAGGUAUAAAAGUAAUACAGCUAAGGAUUUUUUUAAAAAAUCAUUUUUAGGCCUCUAUAGGGAGCAAUAUUUAACUUAUAAUAUGAAAGCCUAUUAAUCAGCUUUCAGAUAUUGAGCAUUAAAUGACAUUUUUAGGGAUGAAGACAACAGCAAAGUUGAAUUUAGACCUUGUCAAAAUUUAAGGAGGUCUCCAACAUUAAGGUGUUCCCAACUCCCCAAAAGAAUAUAAGUAUAUUCAAAUAAUGAGUUAGCAAAGUUACCAAGUACAAUGGUGAAAGAAAAAAAAAGAAUACCUGCCCAUAAGAUGUUGUGAAAAAAUACGAGGAUCAAACAUAAAAAAAAAAAUUCAGAUGUAACCACCCACAAAUUUGGGGGCCACAUUCACAUUCAGCAGGAAAUCUUAAGGAGGAGAAUUUAUUCUAAAGUGGUUCUGGGCUGGUUGUGUAGAGAAUAUAAGGUUAAAGGAUAUGUACAUUCAAAUUGACUUUCAACUUAAAAGAUUGCCUACAAUCCUUCCAAAGGCUCCACUGCUCCCAGUUUGAUCUGCCUUCAUGGAAUCACAGAGAUAGCCUAUGUUGGAAGCCAAAGCUGUGUAAUACCCUGACUAUAAUCAUCAUUCUCAGUGCUUUCCUUUACUGUUAUUACCUGAGUGGGAAUAUUACCCUGGCUGAAUUUGGAGUCCCUCUCUCACCAACUGUCCAGCCAUUUCCAAAGUGAGUUUAAUGAGUAUUCUUAUAUCUCUAGUGUUAGCAGAAGACUAGACAACAGAGUGCAUUGAACAGGACUCUCCUGGGCAACGCUGGAACCUCAGACCAGCAUGGGUCAUUUGAACCCAUUCAAUGAAUUAGCGUCUACACAAUGUAUGUAAUCAAGGCCAUCAAGAUGAGAGUAAGGAACUUGCCAUCCAGAAUCUGUGGCUUUUUGUCACAGGACUACAGAACCAACCUCCUUUUGUCUCCAAGCAUGAAGAGCCAGUAUCUGAGAAUUAAAGUCCUCCAGAGAGUAGACUUUAGCUAAUAAUUGGUAGAUAUAUAGUUAUAAGUAUUCCAGCUCUGUUGUUCUGUUUGAGACAACUGUGAUUUGUGACCUGUAUUGUCUCCAGUGUCCCCCUAUUGGAUUGUGCCAAAGUGAUCCUAAAUGGUACCUUGGUUGAUAUCAAAAUAUUGUUCGGCCUUCUUCCUCUCCCUGUUGCAUGGUCCCACUCCCUGGUCACUAUAUUUUUACUUGGACCACUUCCUAAUAUAUCACUUUCCGAUGAGUCCUCAAUCAGAGUCAGCUUAUGGGGAACCCAAUCUAAAGGCACAGCCAAGUUGUUUUCCAAAAUAUUUCUUUUACUUUACACUCUUGCCCUCAAUGUUUGUGGUCCCAUUUCCUCACUAGUAUUUGGUACCAUCGGUCUAACUUUUUGUCAAGUGUGUUGCUUUAAUUACUUUGUAUUGACUAAAUUUAUAUGUUAACUAUGCAUAUUAACUUUUUGGAGUGAUCACUAAAAUAAUGUAAAUAGAAUGUAUAACUUCUUAAUGAGUAGAAAAAAGUAAUGAAUUAAUACAAGGAACUUAGAACGUUUUAAUUACAAAUAAUUGCCUCCCAGGGUAAAUGUUCUUCUUCUCAUUACUUUAGCUCUGUUUUUUCAUCUUCAAAUUAGACAUUUAUGCUAUUGUUUGUUUAGAUUUAGCCAUGUAUUUGCCAUUUUCUUUGCCAGCAUUCCAGACAUUUAUACUAGUACAUUUUCCUUCUUCUAAAGUAUAUCCUAUAGAUAUACUCCUUUAAUAAUGGUCUAUUAGGGAAACUGUGAUGUCUUUCAUUUUCUGAAAAGUUAUUUUAUCCUCAUUCUUUUAAAAUUAUUCUUGUUGAGUCUCUUUGACUUGUGGAACCAUUCAUAUCUCUUUUUUUCUAUAUAAUAUUGUAUUAUGUACCACCAAAACCUUAGUGAUGCAAUAGUUCUUAAAUGACAAUUUCACUUUUUUGUCCUAAAUUUUUCCCGUUAAUCCAUCGUCAUCAGUUUGGCAAGUUUUGAUACAGGUGCUUUUAAUGUUUGCAUGUAAGCAGGCAGUAACUAUUAUGUCACAGCAGCCCCUGGGCCAACAACAAUUCAUAAUUUUGAUUGAUUGUAAUAAACACCUUGAUAUAAGAGAUAUUAAAAAGUGACAAAUUUGAAUAGAAUUGAUGGAAACAGCAUUAUUCUGUAGUCUUUUAGCUUCCAUUUUUGCUAUUAAAAAAUUAUUUGUCAGCCUAAUUUUGUGUUUCCUCUUUAGUUGUUUGAAAGAUCUCUUUGUGUUUGGUGUUCUGUAACUUUUCUACUGCUUAUCUAAAUAUACAAUCCUUUUUCUUUUUCUGAUAUUAAAAAAACUGAGAUAUGUUACAUCCAGCAAAGGAUAAAAAUCUUAAGUGUAUAACUAGAUGAACAUUUACAUAUGUAUACAUCAGUAUAACACCACUCAGAUCAAUGUAUAGAACAUUUCCAGCAUUCAAAAGGACUCUCAUGCCCCCUCUCAGGCAGGAGCCUCUUAUGUAUAAACAUUCUUCUGACCUUUAUUACCAAAGAUAAACUUUACCUGUUUUUGAACUGCUUGUAAAUGAAAUUAUACAGAAUUUAUGCUGUAUGUCUG
RNAcentral lists this long non-coding RNA (4248 nucleotides) under Homo sapiens (human). RNAcentral's name for it is "non-protein coding lnc-RTL8C-1:1". The record is from RNAcentral. Lineage: Eukaryota; Metazoa; Chordata; Mammalia; Primates; Hominidae.